This 69-nucleotide non-coding RNA is filed under the name uncultured Longibaculum sp. RNAcentral's name for it is "Cyclic di-GMP-I riboswitch". It matches the Rfam family "c-di-GMP-I riboswitch aptamer", at positions 6 to 83 of the family's 87-position model. From Rfam's summary of the family: GEMM was predicted in a large-scale screen for bacterial structured RNA regulatory elements. Genes associated with GEMM are involved in a diverse array of functions, including chemotaxis regulation, signal transduction, secretion and chitin. Lineage: Bacteria; Bacillati; Bacillota; Erysipelotrichia; Erysipelotrichales; Coprobacillaceae. The record is from RNAcentral.
AAAUAAAGGCAAAACUAUUGAAAAAUAGUGACGCAAAGCUAAAGGGCCUUUAAAAUGGCAGCCAGUUAC